RNAcentral lists this ribosomal RNA (455 nucleotides) under uncultured Sphingomonadaceae bacterium. Its description in RNAcentral is "partial 16S ribosomal RNA". The record is from RNAcentral. Lineage: Bacteria; Pseudomonadati; Pseudomonadota; Alphaproteobacteria; Sphingomonadales; Sphingomonadaceae.
CACGGAGUUAGCCGGGGCUUAUUCUCCCGGUACAGUCAUUAUCUUCCCGGGUAAAAGAGCUUUACAACCCUAAGGCCUUCAUCACUCACGCGGCAUUGCUGGAUCAGGCUUUCGCCCAUUGUCCAAUAUUCCCCACUGCUGCCUCCCGUAGGAGUCUGGGCCGUGUCUCAGUCCCAGUGUGGCUGAUCAUCCUCUCAGACCAGCUAAGGAUCGUCGCCUUGGUAGGCCUUUACCCCACCAACUAGCUAAUCCUACGCGGGCUCAUCCCUAGGCGAUAAAUCUUUGAUCUCGCGAUAUCAUACGGUAUUAGCAGCAGUUUCCCGCUGUUAUCCCGUACCUAAGGGCAGAUUCCCACGCGUUACGCACCCGUGCGCCACUAGAGCCCGAAAGCUCUCGUUCGACUUGCAUGUGUUAGGCAUGCCGCCAGCGUUCGUUCUGAGCCAGGAUCAAACUCU